GGGUUGUGAGGUUAAGCGACUAAGCGUACACGGUGGAUGCCCUGGCAGUCAGAGGCGAUGAAGGACGUGCUAAUCUGCGAUAAGCGUCGGUAAGGUGAUAUGAACCGUUAUAACCGGCGAUUUCCGAAUGGGGAAACCCAGUGUGUUUCGACACACUAUCAUUAACUGAAUCCAUAGGUUAAUGAGGCGAACCGGGGGAACUGAAACAUCUAAGUACCCCGAGGAAAAGAAAUCAACCGAGAUUCCCCCAGUAGCGGCGAGCGAACGGGGAGCAGCCCAGAGCCUGAAUCAGUGUGUGUGUUAGUGGAAGCGUCUGGAAAGGCGCGCGAUACAGGGUGACAGCCCCGUACACAAAAAUGCACAUGCUGUGAGCUCGAUGAGUAGGGCGGGACACGUGGUAUCCUGUCUGAAUAUGGGGGGACCAUCCUCCAAGGCUAAAUACUCCUGACUGACCGAUAGUGAACCAGUACCGUGAGGGAAAGGCGAAAAGAACCCCGGCGAGGGGAGUGAAAAAGAACCUGAAACCGUGUACGUACAAGCAGUGGGAGCACAGAGCAAUCUGUGUGACUGCGUACCUUUUGUAUAAUGGGUCAGCGACUUAUAUUCUGUAGCAAGGUUAACCGAAUAGGGGAGCCGAAGGGAAACCGAGUCUUAACUGGGCGUUAAGUUGCAGGGUAUAGACCCGAAACCCGGUGAUCUAGCCAUGGGCAGGUUGAAGGUUGGGUAACACUAACUGGAGGACCGAACCGACUAAUGUUGAAAAAUUAGCGGAUGACUUGUGGCUGGGGGUGAAAGGCCAAUCAAACCGGGAGAUAGCUGGUUCUCCCCGAAAGCUAUUUAGGUAGCGCCUCGUGAAUUCAU
This 861-nucleotide ribosomal RNA is filed under the name Escherichia coli. Its description in RNAcentral is "bacterial LSU rRNA". It matches the Rfam family "Bacterial large subunit ribosomal RNA", at positions 1 to 893 of the family's 2925-position model. Lineage: Bacteria; Pseudomonadati; Pseudomonadota; Gammaproteobacteria; Enterobacterales; Enterobacteriaceae. The record is from RNAcentral.